GCACACAGAGUUUGGGAAAGGGCAGCCUUUUCUCUGUGCCCCUGGGUAGGAUGGGGGGCUUUCCACCAUGCAGACAGGGUCUAGGGUAGCAUGCAAGCCAGCCAGGCACAGGAGCCCAGCCACCUCCUCACCAUUGCUUCAUCCUAGUCCUGAGCUGCAGGACUCUCUGCACCUGAGGAUACACCAGAAAUGGAGAUAGCAGCCCUCUCCGAACCUGCUGGGGAGAAUGACAGAAGCCGUGUGCACACCAGACCUCAAUGCACAGAGCACGACUCUGCACUGGAACAACCCUCAUCCUUCGGCAAAGCAGGCGGCUGCCAGACUGGCUGUGCCCCUCAUCACAUAUCUUCACACUAUGGAGGCCAUGAAGGCUGAACUUCAUGGGUGUGAGUCCCAGCUCCCGGGUCCCCAUAAAGGACCCCUGCAUAGGGCUCAGCAGAGGCGGUGGAACAUGAACAUACCACAAAGGUGUGGAAUGUGGAGUCAUUGGUGGAUUGACUCUACCUGCAUGCAGAAUUCUGUGUGGCUGUUUGGUGCUGGGGUCUGACUCCAGGGGCCUUGAACACACUCAGCAUUUACUCUACCAGUGAGCCUCACCCAUACCUCCUGCCUUCUGCUUUUAUAAAUUUACCCAAGUCCUA
This is a non-coding RNA of Myodes glareolus (Bank vole), 641 nucleotides long. Lineage: Eukaryota; Metazoa; Chordata; Mammalia; Rodentia; Cricetidae. The record is from RefSeq and is a predicted model, not a curated record.